AUGCUGGUGUCUACUUUAGAUUCCGCUGAGCUCAAUGCAUUCUUCUGAUGAAAUUAAGGAGGAUUUAGAAUCAACUUCUCAGCGAGAAAAUAUAUUUCAGCUCUUCUAUACACAAAAGCAGCUGGUAGCUCAGAGACAUACAUUUAACUCGGCAUGCCUUCUCUUGAAUAAAGCAGUGCCUGUUAAUUUCUGAAAUGCUGUCACUCAGCAUGCCACACAUGCUUGUGCUGAGGACAGUGUUAUCUCCCUGAUAUUGCACUGUCCCAGUGCUACUACACCUAGGUGCCCAGAUGUGCAAAGGCCAAGCCCUGAUGCCAUAUUCAGACUAUGAAUUUUGCACUAUUAUCACAACUCAACGGCUCUCAUUUCCCCAACAGACAGGAAAGGUAAGGAAGAAAGCACAGAAUUCCUCUGCAUCGCACCAGCAAACAGCACCAAAAAGGGAUGUGCUUUCAAGCAAAGAGCCAGUGAAUUCCCACUGUACACCACCUGGAUCAUCACAUCUGGAGGCUGCUGGGGGACUGAUGAAAUCAGCGUCCUGCAGAGCCUCAGCUCAGCUCUCGAUACUGACCAGAGCAAAGCCACUGGAGCAAUGCCCUUGUCAGCAGAAGAAAUACCCAAAUCUGCUAGUGUUCAUGGAGAACCGUUGUCCCCCAGCUCUUUGGGUUCUUCCAUGCCAGGUCCUGAUGCUGCUCGUCACAGGAGCAGAGGGGUUGUGUGAGAUGACUGAGCACAAGCUGUCCAUCAGGACAACAACCCUGUUGAGCUCCCAGUGCUGCACCUCCAUCCUGCAUGCCCACAGACCAAGUGGCUGGGCCUGCAGAGUCCCAACUCAUCACCAUGCAGAGGCACCCACCAUGCUCUGCCUGCUCCAGGCCGCUUUCCCAGGCAGGAGAAUGAGACCUUUGCCAUCAGCAUUGAGGUGAACGAGGACUGAAGAUCUGGUUUCUCUCAGGAUGUGCUGAAGGACUUCACAAUUCCCUAAUUCUCCACAUCUCCAUCCCAUGAACAAGCACUGGAGUUAACCAUGGCUGCAAAGCCAGGGAAUGUGCCAAGGAUGGGGCAAAGCUGAAGUCUGAAACAAAUCUCCCUGAGAGGAUGCUACGGUCUCGGACAGCAGCAGGGUGGGAUUAUCUGCCACCACAAUUGCUAUGCGGGAGAUAAAAGAGCUUCACUCUUGGAAAAUAAACAUUUGCUCACUCCAAACA
RNAcentral lists this long non-coding RNA (1208 nucleotides) under Anas platyrhynchos platyrhynchos (common mallard). RNAcentral's name for it is "lncRNA (ENSAPLG00000023004.1)". The record is from RNAcentral. Lineage: Eukaryota; Metazoa; Chordata; Aves; Anseriformes; Anatidae.